This is a long non-coding RNA of Clupea harengus (Atlantic herring), 609 nucleotides long. NCBI's taxonomy places the organism in Eukaryota, Metazoa, Chordata, Actinopteri, Clupeiformes, Clupeidae. The record is from Ensembl.
AUUUAUAUACGGUGCGGUUAAUACAAUACUACAAUGCUAUUUAUAAACCGUGUGGUUAAUAGUCUAAAUAUGGUAAGACCCUCAUUGAAUCAGCUCCCCCAAACUUCUCUUUUCUGAGUGGUACAAGAACAGACAAAAGAGGAGGGGGAAUAGCCACACUGUUCAGAAGAGGAGAAGAGGAGAAGAGGAGGGGGAAUAGCCACACUGUUCAGAAGAGGAGAAGAGGAGAAGAGGAGGGGAAUAGCCACACUGUUCAGAAGAGGAGAAGAGGAGGGGGAUAGCCACACUGUUCAGAAGAGGAGAAGAGGAGAAGAGGAGGGGGAAUAGCCACACUGUUCAGAAGAGGAGAAGAGGAGGGGGAUAGCCACACUGUUCAGAAGAGAAGAGGAGGAGAAGAGGAGAAGAGGAAGGGGAUAGCCAACAUUGUUGAUGAGCUAGGCACACUGUUGAUGAGCUAGUGUUGAUGAGCUAGGCACACUGUUGAUGAGCUAGGCACACUGUUGAUGAGCUAGGCACACUCUUGUCGUUACUUGUACAAAUUCUGAUUGUGUUUUUGUAUCAGGGUAUUUUAACUUGCAUGUAGAUAAUCCAGAAAACAGUUAUGCUAAG